CUUUAAGUGUACAAGAGAACUUUGACUUUCCUGAGUACACAAGGGAAAAAUUACAUAUUGUGAUGUCAUUGCCUUGCGGAUUUCUCAUACCACCAAGUACAUUAGUCACGCUGUCAAUGUCAAGGAGAUACAAAAGAAAAAAGAAAAAAAACAUAGUAUCUUCAUAUGAGAAUUGAAUUCCUUCCAAUAUAAUGAAGGACCUAUCUAGUUGAACGUCUUCAAGAUCGAGUAGAGGAGGAGCUUUUCUACCUAAACCCAGAACAAAUCAUCCAGAAUCAGACCGGAAAGCGAGGAACCAAUUGCUGAGACGCAAUGUAGAGGAAAUGGAAAAUAUUUAUUAGAUCAAGGAGAAUUCGACUCGACUACAGUUGAAUCCAAUAUCCGAAUGUUCAGUUGGCUCAAUUCCCUGGAGGCUGUUUAAUGGAAUGUAAAGAGAGAGACUGACACACAUCUGUUCAAAUCUCUUGAUAGGAUGGUGUAAACAAGCCAAAGCAAGCAGGAUCAUUCGAAUGCCAUUCAAAUUAGCCAGUUACUGUGGAUGCACAAGUAGGAUGGAGGAUAAGCUUCAGAGCAAUUGGACCUUUUCACAAUUGCCCAAUAUUGACUUAGAUUGGGUUUUUUCAAUUUUGCGUUAUUGACAUUUGGAGCCAGACAAUUCUUCGUUGUUGGGGGAGGAGGGCUGUCCUGUGAAUUGCAGGAUGUUUAGCAGCAUCCCUGACCUUUACCCACUAGAUGACAGUAGUACCCCCACCCUAGUUGUGAUAACCAGAAAAUAUCUCCAGACAUUGUCAUAUGUCCUUGGGAGAAGGGGAACAAAAUUGGCCCUGGUUGAGAACUGCUGAGUUAGACAAAUCUGUGUCUGGAGUUUUCAAGAUCUGAGUGGCCGGGAACUGGACUUUUGCUUAAAUGACAGUGUUCCAAGCUGUAGCAGUGGUGGCCUGAAUGCUUGACUGUUGGGAAAAGAGAGAAGGGCUGUGAGCUAUAUAGGAAGGGACCAUUCAGAAAACGAGCAAGAAAACAACCCACAGACUGUUUCACUUACUCUUUUGUGGCCCCCAUGAAAAUGAAUGGUUUGCCCUGGAGUAGAGACAUUCUGGUGAUAAUAAGCCUGUCAGUUUAAUUAUUACACACCACAACUCUAUAGAGCAAGAAGCAUAUUGAUACAGGUAUAGGUAGACAAAAAUAGUUCCCAAUGCACUUUUCCAGG
RNAcentral lists this long non-coding RNA (1207 nucleotides) under Equus caballus (horse). RNAcentral describes it as "lncRNA (ENSECAG00000052487.1)". Lineage: Eukaryota; Metazoa; Chordata; Mammalia; Perissodactyla; Equidae. The record is from RNAcentral.